GAUGAACGCUGGCGGCGUGCCUAAUACAUGCAAGUCGAGCGAACAGACGAGGAGCUUGCUCCUCUGACGUUAGCGGCGGACGGGUGAGUAACACGUGGAUAACCUACCUAUAAGACUGGGAUAACUUCGGGAAACCGGAGCUAAUACCGGAUAAUAUAUUGAACCGCAUGGUUCAAUAGUGAAAGACGGUUUUGCGGUCACUUAUAGAUGGAUCCGCGCCGCAUUAGCUAGUUGGUAAGGUAACGGAUUACCAAGGCAACGAUGCGUAGCCGACCUGAGAGGGUGGUUCGCCAGAUGGGAACUGAGACAGGGUCCAGACUCCUGCGGGGGGAAGCAGUCGGGAAUCUUCCGCAAGGGGCGAAAGCCUGACGGAGCAACGCCGCGGGAGGGAUGAAGGUCUUCGGAUCGGAAAACUCUGUUAUUAGGGAGGAACAAAUGUGUAAGUAACUAUGCACGUCUUGACGGUACCUGAUCAGAAAGCCACGGCUAACUACGUG
Molecule: ribosomal RNA, 497 nt
Filed under: uncultured bacterium
Lineage: Bacteria
Description: partial 16S ribosomal RNA
Rfam family: Bacterial small subunit ribosomal RNA
Source: RNAcentral